This 642-nucleotide long non-coding RNA is filed under the name Macaca mulatta (Rhesus monkey). Its description in RNAcentral is "lncRNA (ENSMMUG00000059265.1)". The record is from RNAcentral. Lineage: Eukaryota; Metazoa; Chordata; Mammalia; Primates; Cercopithecidae.
UGAAAAUCCCAUGCUGCAGGCUGAGCUGGAGGGAGCAUCGUGAGUGGCUCAGACCCAGACCUUCAAGGCAAGGGACAGACACCGUCUUGCUUGGUUUGCGGUGGAAUAUCUGGAAAAAGCAUUGGUUACAUUUUUUGUAACCCUCGGCUAAUGAGUCCCAGUCGGUGGAGGCUGAGUUAAACACCACACAGGCAGCAGACCAUCAGCUCGCUUCUCAUGAAUGCAAAGAUGUCAUGGAAUCAGGCUCCAGAUUAUUGCAUCACUUGCUAAGGUCUGUGAAGUACUCUGACUGUGACUCACAACCGAGGACUUGUGGAAUAGUGACUGGGCCACGCGACUGCACUCUCUAAGCUUUUGCUUUGCCAAGUCAUUCUGAAUCUAAUGAUCUUCGGGUGAUUCCCCAGACUGAGGAGGAAGCAACAGCAGCUGUGCGUUGGACUUACAGAAAGAAUGGUUGAAGAUUGCAGUGUAUUUUGAGUUUCUGCUUUGGAGGGGAGAGUUGGUCCUGAUGCCCGCAGACAAAUGACCGCCUGGUUGCAGUUAAAGGUCAGCCCAAGAAUUAUUUCAUACCACAACACCCAAAACCCAUAUCAACUGCCAUCAUCAAACAGAGAAAAAGACCCUAAGAAGCUUGGUGAGUGA